This 715-nucleotide ribosomal RNA is filed under the name uncultured bacterium. RNAcentral describes it as "bacterial SSU rRNA". It matches the Rfam family "Bacterial small subunit ribosomal RNA", at positions 1 to 677 of the family's 1533-position model. The record is from RNAcentral.
AUCGACUCGGUCCCGGGGNUCCAGAGUUUGAUCCUGGCUCAAGACGAACGCUGGCGGCGUGCUUAACACAUGCAAGUCAAGGGGAAAGCGAUCUUCGGAUGGUGAGUAUACUGGCGGACGGGCGAGUAACGCGUAGGCGACCUGCCCUUAUGUUUGGGAUAACCUUGCGAAAGCGGGGCUAAUACCGGAUGUGAUCUUGAUAAUGCCUGUUAUUGGGAUUAAAGUUGCUUGGGGUGACCUGGGUAACGCAUAGGGAUGGGCCUGCGUUCCAUUAGCUAGUUGGUGAGGUAAGGGCUCACCAAGGCGACGAUGGAUAGCUGGUCUGAGAGGACGAUCAGCCACACUGGGACUGAGAUACGGCCCAGACUCCUACGGGAGGCAGCAGUGGGGAAUAUUGCGCAAUGCCCGCAAGGGUGACGCAGCGACGCCGCGUGGGUGAAGAAGCUCUACGGAGUGUAAAGCCCUGUCAGAGGGGAAGAACGGCUUGGAUUCGUAAGGGUUCANGUGUGACGGUACCCUCAGAGGAAGCUCCGGCUAACUCCGUGCCAGCAGCCGCGGUAAUACGGGGGGAGCAAGCGUUGUCCGGAAUCACUGGGCGUAAAGGGCGUGUAGGCGGGCGAUCAAGUCAGAUGUAAAAGGCGACGGCUUAACCGUAGUAUGUCAUCUGAUACUGGUUGUCUUGAGUUCGAGAGAGGGUGGUGGAAUUCCCGGUGUA